RNAcentral lists this unclassified non-coding RNA (329 nucleotides) under plant metagenome. RNAcentral's name for it is "partial contains 5.8S ribosomal RNA, internal transcribed spacer 2, and large subunit ribosomal RNA". The stretch from base 1 to 105 matches the Rfam family "5.8S ribosomal RNA", at positions 50 to 154 of the family's 154-position model. The record is from RNAcentral.
GAAAUGCGAUAAGUAAUGUGAAUUGCAGAAUUCCGUGAAUCAUCGAAUCUUUGAACGCACAUUGCGCCCUCUGGUAUUCCGGGGGGCAUGCCUGUCCGAGCGUCAUUGCGAACCCCUCAAGCACGGCUUGUGUGAUGGGCCCUCCCGCGUCUUGGUCGUCAAGACGGGCCCGAAAUGCAGUGGCGGCUUCGCGGUUAUCCGAUCAGCCAGAGCGUAUGGGGACUUUCUCUAUGUCACACGCCCGCGGCGCGGACCGACGCCUGUCGACCUUCAUUCAUCGUUUUCUCGGUUGACCUCGGAUCAGGUAGGGAUACCCGCUGAACUUAAGC